AUAGACCACGCUGGCCUCAAACUCAGAAAUCCACCUGCCUCUGCCUCCCAAGUGCUGGGAUUAAAAGUGGGUGCUACCACUGCCCAGCCAGGUCUCUGCUUUUAAGAGAGUGUGUUGUUGGAGCAUUUUCUUGAAGGGGAACAGGCCUAUGCUCUCACAUGCUGGACCAUGAAGGAGUAAGAGAAUCUGAUGCAUGAAGCCUUUCUAUAUAGGGACUUUGAUCUCACAGAGGAGAGAAAGAAAAGAGCUUGUGGCCUACUCACUCCCAUGGGUCCUACUGCUUAAAUCCAUCACAUUGGCGACAGCUAGAGAGGACAUGUUCAACCUGGAAAAGCCAUUAGCAGAUAGCAAAGAGUGCCUGGGUUCUCAGCUUCCAACAGACUUUUCAUUGCCUCACUCGUCACCACUUCUACCUGAAUUGAGGGUGUGCAACUGUCCAUCGUCCUAUUCUGCUUCUCCUGGAUCCUAUUUGGUUUCUGCCCCUACUUUCAGCAUCUUAUCUACCCCUCAAUUCUAAGCCCACAACAAAUAUUCCAUGGCAUCCAGGCAGGCUUUCCUAGUGCCACCCUGUGCUACCUGGCUCCACACCCACACUUUACUUCAUUGUGUCAUUAGGCAUGUCUGCAUUCAUGCUGUGCUCAUCUGAUGAGUCACCAGAAGGAAAACAGGCUAUUGUAUCAAGAACAGAGACCCAAAGAUGAGUGUGAAUCCCGAUACAGUAGUUUGCUAGCUGUGGAAGUUGUUUUUAGUUUCCUCAUCAUAGCCUUCAUUUCACAGUGUAAUCAUGACAAUAAUGAUGGUGCUGCUGUUGCUG
This is a long non-coding RNA of Mastomys coucha (southern multimammate mouse), 814 nucleotides long. RefSeq lists it as uncharacterized. NCBI's taxonomy places the organism in Eukaryota, Metazoa, Chordata, Mammalia, Rodentia, Muridae. The transcript has 2 exons. The record is from RefSeq and is a predicted model, not a curated record.